GCUCAGAUUGAACGCUGGCGGCAUGCUUUAACAUGCAAGUCGAACGGCAGCGCGGGCUUCGGCCUGGCGGCGAGUGGCGAACGGGUGAGAAUAUAUCGGAACGUACCCGGCAAUGGGGGAUAACGUAGCGAAAGUUACGCUAAUACCGAUAUGCCCUGAGGGGGAAAGCAGGGGACCAGCAAUGGCCUUGCGUUGUCGGAGCGGCCGUAUCGGAUUAGCUAGUUGGUGAGGUAAAGGCUCACCAAGGCGACGAUCCGUAGCGGGUCGAGAGGAUGAUCCGCCACACUGGGACUGAGACACGGCCCAGACUCCUACGGGAGGCAGCGUGGGGAAUUUUGGACAAUGGGGGAAACCCUGAUCCAGCCAUGCCGCGUGAGUGAAGAAGCCUUCGGGUUGUAAAGCUCUUUCAGGUGGAAAGAAAAGGUCAUUCAUAAUACGGAUGAUGAUGACGGUACCAUCAGAAGAAGCACCGGCUAACUACGUGCCAGCAGCCGCGGUAAU
This 501-nucleotide ribosomal RNA is filed under the name uncultured beta proteobacterium. RNAcentral describes it as "bacterial SSU rRNA". It matches the Rfam family "Bacterial small subunit ribosomal RNA", at positions 22 to 524 of the family's 1533-position model. Lineage: Bacteria; Pseudomonadati; Pseudomonadota; Betaproteobacteria. The record is from RNAcentral.